GGCCAGCAGCCGCGGUAUAGGAGGAUCCGAGCGUUUUCCGGAUUUAUUGGGUUUAAAGGGAGCGUAGGCGGACUAUUAAGUCAGCUGUGAAAGUUGCGGCUCAACCGUAAAAUUGCAGUUGAUACUGGUCGUCUUGAGUGCAGUAGAGGUAGGCGGAAUUCGUGGUGUAGCGGUGAAAUGCUUAGAUAUCACGAAGAACUCCGAUUGCGAAGGCAGCUUACUGGACUGUAACUGACGCUGAUGCUCGAAAGUGUGGGUAUCAAACAGGAUUAGAUACCCUGGUAGUCCACACAGUAAACGAUGAAUACUCGCUGUUUGCGAUAUACGGCAAGCGGCCAAGCGAAAGCAUUAAGUAUUCCACCUGGGGAGUACGCCGGCAACGGUGAAACUCAAAGGAAUUGACGGGGGCCCGCACAAGCGGAGGAGCAUGUGGUUUAAUUCGAUGAUACGCGAGGAACCUUACCCGGGCUUAAAUUGCAAAUGAAUAUAGUGGAAACAUUAUAGCCGCAAGGCAUUUGUGAAGGUGCUGCAUGGUUGUCGUCAGCUCGUGCCGUGAGGUGUCGGCUUAAGUGCCAUAACGAGCGCAACCCUUAUCUUUAGUUACUAACAGGUCAUGCUGAGGACUCUAGAGAGACUGCCGUCGUAAGAUGUGAGGAAGGUGGGGAUGACGUCAAAUCAGCACGGCCCUUACGUCCGGGGCUACACACGUGUUACAAUGGGGGGUACAGAAGGCAGCUACACAGCGAUGUGAUGCUAAUCCCAAAAGCCUCUCUCAGUUCGGAUUGGAGUCUGCAACCCGACUCCAUGAAGCUGGAUUCGCUAGUAAUCGCGCAUCAGCCACGGCGCGGUGAAUACGUUCCCGGGCCUUGUACACACCGCCCGUCAAGCCAUGAAAGCCGGGGGUACCUGAAGUCCGUAACCGUAAGGAGCGGCCUAGGGUAAAACUGGUAAUUGGGGCUAAGUCGUAACAAGGUAACC
RNAcentral lists this ribosomal RNA (978 nucleotides) under uncultured Bacteroides sp. RNAcentral's name for it is "bacterial SSU rRNA". It matches the Rfam family "Bacterial small subunit ribosomal RNA", at positions 506 to 1501 of the family's 1533-position model. The record is from RNAcentral. Lineage: Bacteria; Pseudomonadati; Bacteroidota; Bacteroidia; Bacteroidales; Bacteroidaceae.